RNAcentral lists this long non-coding RNA (548 nucleotides) under Rattus norvegicus (Norway rat). RNAcentral's name for it is "long non-coding RNA NONRATT026937". Lineage: Eukaryota; Metazoa; Chordata; Mammalia; Rodentia; Muridae. The record is from RNAcentral.
UGUGUGUGUGUGUGUGUGUGUGUGUGUGUGUAUCUGUGAAAGAGAGAGAAGGCAAGAGGAAUGGAAUGAGCUCAUGUGUGUGAACAAUGAGAAAGUGUAUGCUGUCUAUUUCCAUAGGAUCCAUUAGCAUCCAAUAUUUAAAAGCAGCUGGGAAGUUUAUUCGUGACAUGUCAGGGGACAAUCUCAGGUAUCAGAUCUCACCUUCUCUUUUAUGCGACACAGUCUUAUUGUUGCUCACCACUGUGUCUGUCAGCUUUUGUGUAUCCUGGCUCCACCCUCCAUCUCACCACAGAAACACCAGGUUGACAGAAAUCCCAUGCUCCAUUCACCAGGAUUCUAGGGAUCUGAACCCAUGUCUUUACACUUCCAUGGCACGCACUUUUACUGACUGACCCAUUUCCCCAGCCCUGCUCAAAUGAGUUCUAGAGACGCUUAGUCCCGUCUUCCCUCUCCAGCCUCCCUCCUGCUCUUCCUCUCAUCUUCGCUCCGUCCUUCUUUUCCUCCUUCUCAGUUUUUCAUCUGUUCAUAUGCAUAGACUUUUUGACCUU